UAGGGAAUCUUCCACAAUGGGCGAAAGCCUGAUGGAGCAACGCCGCGUGUGUGAUGAAGGGUUUCGGCUCGUAAAGCUCUGUUGUUAAAGAAGAACACGUAUGAGAGUAACUGUUCAUACGUUGACGGUAUUUAACCAGAAAGUCACGGCUAACUACGUGUCAG
This 164-nucleotide ribosomal RNA is filed under the name uncultured bacterium. RNAcentral describes it as "partial 16S ribosomal RNA". It matches the Rfam family "Bacterial small subunit ribosomal RNA", at positions 355 to 511 of the family's 1533-position model. The record is from RNAcentral.